AGCAGCCGCGGUAAUUCCAGCUCCAAUAGCGUAUAUUAAAGUUGUUGCAGUUAAAAAGCUCGUAGUUGAAUUUCGGGGUUAGUAGGUUGGUCAUGCCUCUGGUAUGUACUGGUCUCACUGAUUCCUCCUUCCUGAUGAGCCGUAAUGCCAUUAAUUUGGUGUUGCGGGGAAUUUGGACUGUUACUUUGAAAAAAUUGAGUGUUUAAAGCAAGCUAACGCUUGAAUACAUUAGCAUGGAAUAAUGAAAUAGGACGUUCGAUCCUAUUUUGUUGGUUUCUAGGAUUGACGUAAUGAUUAAUAGGGAUAGUUGGGGGCAUUAGUAUUCAAUUGUCAGAGGUGAAAUUCUUGGAUUUAUUGAAGACUAACUACUGCGAAAGCAUUUGCCAAGGAUGUUUUCAUUAAUCAAGAACGAAAGUUAGGGAUCGAAGACGAUCAGAUACCGCCGUAGUCUUAACCCAUAAACUAUGCCGACUAGGGAUCGGAUGAUGUUAAUUUUUUAAUGGCUCAUUCGGCGCCUUAA
This 520-nucleotide ribosomal RNA is filed under the name uncultured Glomus. Its description in RNAcentral is "SSU rRNA". It matches the Rfam family "Eukaryotic small subunit ribosomal RNA", at positions 569 to 1091 of the family's 1831-position model. Lineage: Eukaryota; Fungi; Glomeromycota; Glomeromycetes; Glomerales; Glomeraceae. The record is from RNAcentral.